This 512-nucleotide ribosomal RNA is filed under the name uncultured bacterium. RNAcentral describes it as "partial 16S ribosomal RNA". It matches the Rfam family "Bacterial small subunit ribosomal RNA", at positions 28 to 507 of the family's 1533-position model. The record is from RNAcentral.
GAUGAACGCUGGCGGCGUGCCUAAUACAUGCAAGUCGAACGGAACUUCUUUAUCACCGAGUGCUUGCACUCACCGAUAAAGAGUUGAGUGGCGAACGGGUGAGUAACACGUGGGCAACCUGCCCAAAAGAGGGGGAUAACACUUGGAAACAGGUGCUAAUACCGCAUAACCAUAGUUACCGCAUGGUAACUAUGUAAAAGGUGGCUAUACUACCGCUUUUGGAUGGGCCCGCGGCGCAUUAGCUAGUUGGUAGGGUAAAGGCUUACCAAGGCAAUGAUGCGUAGCCGAAUUGAGAGGUUGAUCGGCCACAUUGGGACUGAGACACGGCCCAAACUCCUACGGGAGGCAGCAGUAGGGAAUCUUCCACAAUGGGCGAAAGCCUGAUGGAGCAACGCCGCGUGGGUGAAGAAGGUCUUCGGAUCGUAAAACCCUGUUGUUAGAGAAGAAAGUGCGUGAGAGUAACUGUUCACGUUUCGACGGUAUCUAACCAGAAAGCCACGGCUAACUACGUG